AUACAAAUAAACUAAUAAAGUUUUUAGACUCAUGCUCUAACCAUAUAUAUCUUAAUAAAUAUAUUUUGUAUA
Molecule: transfer RNA, 72 nt
Filed under: Abispa ephippium (large potter wasp)
Lineage: Eukaryota; Metazoa; Arthropoda; Insecta; Hymenoptera; Vespidae
Description: tRNA-Met
Source: RNAcentral